RNAcentral lists this ribosomal RNA (697 nucleotides) under Bacillus pumilus. RNAcentral's name for it is "bacterial SSU rRNA". It matches the Rfam family "Bacterial small subunit ribosomal RNA", at positions 8 to 695 of the family's 1533-position model. The record is from RNAcentral. Lineage: Bacteria; Bacillati; Bacillota; Bacilli; Caryophanales; Bacillaceae.
AGAGUUUGAUCCUGGCUCAGGACGAACGCUGGCGGCGUGCCUAAUACAUGCAAGUCGAGCGAACAGAAGGGAGCUUGCUCCCGGAUGUUAGCGGCGGACGGGUGAGUAACACGUGGGUAACCUGCCUGUAAGACUGGGAUAACUCCGGGAAACCGGAGCUAAUACCGGAUAGUUCCUUGAACCGCAUGGUUCAAGGAUGAAAGACGGUUUCGGCUGUCACUUACAGAUGGACCCGCGGCGCAUUAGCUAGUUGGUGGGGUAAUGGCUCACCAAGGCGACGAUGCGUAGCCGACCUGAGAGGGUGAUCGGCCACACUGGGACUGAGACACGGCCCAGACUCCUACGGGAGGCAGCAGUAGGGAAUCUUCCGCAAUGGACGAAAGUCUGACGGAGCAACGCCGCGUGAGUGAUGAAGGUUUUCGGAUCGUAAAGCUCUGUUGUUAGGGAAGAACAAGUGCGAGAGUAACUGCUCGCACCUUGACGGUACCUAACCAGAAAGCCACGGCUAACUACGUGCCAGCAGCCGCGGUAAUACGUAGGUGGCAAGCGUUGUCCGGAAUUAUUGGGCGUAAAGGGCUCGCAGGCGGUUUCUUAAGUCUGAUGUGAAAGCCCCCGGCUCAACCGGGGAGGGUCAUUGGAAACUGGGAAACUUGAGUGCAGAAGAGGAGAGUGGAAUUCCUCGAGGGCUCUUCCUGCA